RNAcentral lists this ribosomal RNA (497 nucleotides) under uncultured bacterium. RNAcentral describes it as "partial 16S ribosomal RNA". It matches the Rfam family "Bacterial small subunit ribosomal RNA", at positions 28 to 507 of the family's 1533-position model. The record is from RNAcentral.
GAUGAACGCUGGCGGCGUGCCUAAUACAUGCAAGUCGAGCGAACAGACGCUGAGCUUGCUCCUCUGACGUUAGCGGCGGACGGGUGAGUAACACGUGGAUAACCUACCUAUAAGACUGGGAUAACUUCGGGAACCCGGAGCUAAUACCGGAUAAUAUAUUGAACCGCAUGGUUCAAUAGUGAAAGACGGUUUUGCUGUCACUUAUAGAUGUAUCCGCGUCGCAUUAGCUAGUUGGUAAGGUAACGGCUUACCAAGGCAACGAGACGUAGCCGACCUGAGAGGAGGAUCGGAAACACUAGAACGGAACUACGGUACAGACUACAACGGGAGGCAGCAGUAGAGAAGCGUACUCAAUGGGAGGAAGGCUGACGGAGCAACGCAGCGUGGGGGAUGAGAGUACUCGGAUCGGAAAACACUGUUAUUAGGGAAGAAAAAAUGGGUAAGUAACUAUGAACGUAGUGACGGUACCUAAUCAGAAAGCCACGGCUAACUACGUG